CGGGGUGUAGCGCAGCUUAGUAGCGCGCUACGUUCGGGACGUAAAGGUCGUGGACGGUCCGCCGCAGCGGUUCGAAUCCCACCACCCCGA
Molecule: transfer RNA, 90 nt
Filed under: Fibrella sp. ES10-3-2-2
Lineage: Bacteria; Pseudomonadati; Bacteroidota; Cytophagia; Cytophagales; Spirosomataceae
Description: tRNA-Pro
Rfam family: tRNA
About the family: Transfer RNA (tRNA) molecules are approximately 80 nucleotides in length.
Source: RNAcentral